AUUGUGGACAAGGUGCCCAGUGUCUCCAGCUCUGCCCUAGUGUCUUCCCUGCACCUACUUAAUUGCAGCUUUGAUGUGGUCAAGAGCUGGGUGAACGAGGCCCAAGAAGCAGCAUCUAGUGAUAACAUCAUGGUUCAGUACCAUGCACUAGGACUUUUGUACCAUGUAUGUAAGAAUGACCCACUGGCUGAUAGUAAGAUGAUCAGCAAGUUAACCUGGCAUAGGCUGAAGUCCCCUUUUGGGUACUGCCUGAUGAUCUGAGUGGACAGCCAGCAAGUGGAAGAGGAGGAUUGGAACCCCUGACAGCCUAUUGUUUGACUUCAUCGAGAGCUGUUUGCCAUAACAAUCACGAGAUAGUGUUGUAUGAAGCUGCCUCAGCCAUGGUCAACCUGCCAGAUUGCAGUGCAAAAGUGUUGGCUCCUGCUCUGUCAGUGCUCCAGCUUUUCUGUAGCUCGCUCAAGGCUUCACUCAGCUAUGCUCCAGUCUGCGCUGUCAAUAAGGUUGCCGGGAAACACUGGUCAGCAGUGACUACCUGCAAUCUGGAUCUGGAGAACCUGGUCACAGACUCAAACCAGCAGCAUCACCACUUUGGCCAUCACUACCCUCCUUAAGACAGGGAGCUGAGAGCAGCAUCGACCACCUUAUGAAGCAGAUCUCUUCCUUCAUGUCAGAUAUCUCAGACGAAUUCAAGGUGGUGCUUGUCCAGGCUAUCAGUGCUCUUUGCCAGAAGUAUCCUCAAAAAACAUGCGGUGCUCAUGAACUUCCUGCUCACCAUGCUAAGGGAAGAGGGUGGUUUUGAGUAUAAGAGCACCGUUUUGGACUGUAUCAUCAGCAUCACUGAGGAGAACUCGGAAAGCAAGGAGUCAGGUCUGUCAGAUCUGUAUGAAUUCAUCCAAGACUGUGAGUUCAAGGUCCUGGCUACCCUUUCAAGUACAUCUGCUUCAUCUACAACUGUAUGGUCCUGGAGCAUGAAAAGGUUCUGGUAAGUGCAGCUAGUGCUCUAGCCAUGUUUGGAGCCCAGAGCUAAGAGAUGUUAUCUAGUAUCUUGUUGUUGCUGAAGAUAUGUGUGGUGGAUGAUGACAACAAAGUGAGGGACCGAUCCAUCUUCUAUCUGAAUGUCCUAGAGCAGAAAGAGAAGGCCCUCAAUACAGGUUAUCUCCUAAAUGGUCUGACUGUGUCCAUCCCUGGUCUGAAGAGGGCCCUGCAGCAGUACACACUAGAACCAUCAGAAAAGCCAUUUGACCUAGAGUCUGUGCCUCUGGCUACCACCCCUAUGACAGAGCAGAGAACAGACAGCACUGCCGACCACAACAGUGAAACAGCUUGAGGAAAUGGCAGCCACCCCCAGCAGGAGAUUUUCUAGGAGUGUUUAGCAGCUGUGCCAGAGUUCCAGGGGCUAGAACCCCUCUUGCAAGUCUUCACCUGAGCCAGUGGCCCUCACGGAAUCAGAGACAGAUUACAUCAUCCUUUGCACCAAACAUACCUUCACUGACCACAUGACGUUUCAGUUUGAGUGCGCAAACACCCUCAACAACCAGACCCUGGAGAAUGUCAUGGUGCAGAUGGAGUCCACAGACGCCUAUGAGGUACUGUGCUAUGUGCCUGCCUGGAGCCUUCCCUACAACCAGACUGGGACCUGAUACACACUGAUGGUUCUACCCAACGAAGACCCCACGGCUGUAGUAGGCACGUUCAGCUGUAUGAUGCAGCUCACCAGCAAGGACUGCGAUCGCACCACGGGAGACACUGAUGAAGAAGACUACAAGGAGGAACAUGUGCUGGAGGAUCUAGAAGUUACUGUGGCUGACCACAUUCAAAAAGCCAUGAAAGUGAACUUUGAAGCAGCCUGGGAUGAGAUCAGGAAUGAGUUUGAGAAGGAGGAAAAAUUCACCCUGUCUUCCUUCAGGACACUUGAAGAGGCUGUGGGCAAUAUUGUGAAGUUCUUGGGAAUGCAUCCUU
Molecule: RNA transcript, 1959 nt
Organism: Nannospalax galili (Upper Galilee mountains blind mole rat)
Lineage: Eukaryota; Metazoa; Chordata; Mammalia; Rodentia; Spalacidae
Gene name: coatomer subunit gamma-1 pseudogene
Exons: 1
Source: RefSeq, a predicted model, not a curated record